Molecule: long non-coding RNA, 796 nt
Organism: Solanum dulcamara
Lineage: Eukaryota; Viridiplantae; Streptophyta; Magnoliopsida; Solanales; Solanaceae
Exons: 6
Source: RefSeq, a predicted model, not a curated record
GAGUGAAUUCUCAUAUGGAGGUGUCUCAGAACUGGCAGAAGCAGAUCUCCUUAGUUGCUCAUUUUCAUAUCUAACGCAAAAAUAUCUUGGCUAAGAGCUCCAAGAGAUUUCGUAGUGCAUUUGAUACAGUCAAUUUCCAUGUUGCGGUGGAAGAGUAUAAAAGAGCUUUCAGUUCCAGCUUUGUUGACUCAUCGUAUAUCAAACUUGCACUUCAGAUUGUAUAUUUACUAUUCACAAGUGACCUAGAACCUAGAACCUGAAGAAGAAGAUUUGCAAGCUGUAGCUGAUGACCUAAGAGAUCGUCUGUCUCCCGGACAUCAACAACUGCAGGAUAUCCUAGUGAAUACUGCUAAGGAUAUCAAUAGCGGUAGAUCUUUAAUUUUACAAGCCACCCAAAGCUGAGGAUCUUUCACAAGUUAAUACAUCAAAGGCAUGGCAAUACUUCAAAAAUUGCUUUAGAGAUCCAUCAAGCUUUCGAGUUAUUAUAAUUGGGAAGUUCGAUUCUGCUUCUGUUGAUUCUCUUCUGUCCCGUUAUUUGGGUGGAAUACCAAGGCCUUCUAUGCCUAUAAUGGAAUUUCAACGUGGGAAGCUCACACCAGCACCUUUCCAUUUCCCUCCGGCUGUGACAAUGGAGGAAGUGCCUAUGGCUAUGGACAGUGGCAAUGGAGUUUAUAAUUGUGUAAGGUUUCCCCUUUAUCUGGAGAGUGAGACAUUGGAUGAAGAUCGCUAUUUCUUGGAGAUUUUGAGGGGACUCAUGAGAAUUAAAGUGAUGAAUAUACUUCGUCACAAAAAAAGA